RNAcentral lists this long non-coding RNA (5896 nucleotides) under Homo sapiens (human). RNAcentral's name for it is "HSALNT0201907". Lineage: Eukaryota; Metazoa; Chordata; Mammalia; Primates; Hominidae. The record is from RNAcentral.
GUCCGAGUCCUCUGGGAGUGUCUGAAGUUGCAGGGAAAACCGCCAAGCCUUGCGUGGAGCCACCACCAUCACUUGCCCCUUUUCUGUCUUUGUGCUGCCAUCUAGAGAGGAAAGGAAAACAUGUGGUGUGUCCUGGUGAGGAGAAACAGUCACCUGAAACCCCAAGCACCAUCUGCAGCUCCUAGAACAGAACGCAGGGCUGGCGGGUUUAGUCCUGAGGGCAGCUGAGCAUUUUCGCUUCUAAGAGAUGACCUCAGACACAGGAAGGGGUUCCCAUCGUGGCCAGCCUCCGAGAUCUCAUUCUAGGGUUCAUAGCAGGCUCCUCGAGAGCACACCAAGAAGUAUGUUUUUCUUUGAAUGUUCAAAGGGAGUGAAAUAUAAUGUUGGGGUGGCCCAAACUUACAGGAUGGGCACCAUCUUAUAGGAAAAAAAAUAAAAUACAAGAAAUGCACGAAAGUAACGUUCUGAGAUGAGUAAUUCUUAAACCAUUUUUCUUUUUUUUUUUUUUUUGUAGAGGCAGUUCCUUUUAUAAAAAGCAGGAAGCCUUGUGUAGACUCCAAUGUAUAAAAAAUAGAUAAGCAUAUACUUGUUGCUGAUAGAAGUAGUAGCACCUAAUGUCCCUGUGAAGAAUGUACUGAACAAGUUUAAUUACUACAAGUUGAUUUUUUAUUGAGUGCAAAGUUAAAAAUAACGUAUUCUGGAGCUAUAUGUUACAAAAAAAAACAUGUACAUGGAAAUCAAACUUCUAUGCCAGAAUGUGGAUGAGAAGGAAGCAAGGCCUUCCCUGACCACCCACUCCCCAGAAUUCAGUGCCCUGCCUGGUCAGCUUUUUCCAUAGGCCCUGGCACUAUCUGAGAUAUCAUCUGUCUACUCGCUCUAGAAUGGAAAUUCUUGAGGGCAGGUUAUUUUUGCCUGCCAUGUUGAUAUCCGCAUUUCCUCUAUCUACAACAUGUCUAGCACACAGCAGGUGCUCAGUACAUGCUCUUAAAGGAACAAAUAAAUCUAAGUUGAUUCCUUAGCUUCUUUUGCUUGUUUAUGCAAGAACAACAUGUCUAACUUUAAUUUUACAAGUAUUCUGAUUUCAAACACGUGUAAAGUAACAAUUAUUUUAAAGUCCAUGAAGAAGCUCUGAUUUCUCUGUAAAUUUCAUUUGGUGCCGUCCCCCAUUUCAAAUAGUCUUGAUUAGCCUGAGACCAUCAAAAUAACAUUUAUUAAUGAAAGUACAGUAAAUGCUAAAACACUGACAGCUGAAUUAAAGAUUUGACAUGCAAAUGUACCAGCUAAGUAGAAGCUUUACUUAAAUUCUGGCUUGCCAUCGUUGAGGAUAAAUUGACCUGCAGAAUUCAUUAUGAAUAAAGCAAGAAGAUGCAGCAGAAUAAAUGUGAUUUUUUUCCUUUCUUAAAAUAAAAUUUGCAAUUAAAACAGAUUAUUUAAGGCUAAAUGGUCAUAUAAUGGUAUGAAUAGGAACCUUGGGUAAACAAAAGGAACGAGGCUUAGGCUUGGCAUCUGGGCUUGGCCACCUACUGUCUGUAUGACCUCACACAGACCAUCAAUAAAAUAAGGAUACCACCUCUUUCUGGUCUACCUUGGAGGGUUGUUGUAAAGAUUAAUUUAUUUUAUUUUACUUUUUUAAGAGACAGGGUCUUGCUCUGUCACCCAAGCUGAAGUGGAGUGUUAUAAUCAUAGUCCACUGUAACCUUGAAUUCCUAGCCUCAAGCAAUUCUCCCUCCUCAGCCUCCCAAGUAGCUAGAAUUACAGGUGUGUGCCACCACACCUGGCUAAUUUUUUAUUUUUUUUUUUGUAGAAACAGUCUUGCUAUGUUGUCCAGGCUGGACUUAAACUUCUGGCCUCAGCUUCCCAAAGUACUGGGAUUACAGAAGUGAGUGACUGUGCCCAGCUAAGGUCAAUUUAAAUACUGAUAAGUGAUUGCUGUGAGAACUGUAAAAAUACUAUGAAACACAGGGACGAACCCUUUUGGUCAGUCUAAUGGCUCUGAGGAAUAUAUAAACCUCAGGACUGUGUAAUCUCCAAGUGUAUACCAAGGUGUAAAAAUCAAAUCAUAUCUUCUGAUUAUUCAGAUGAGGACAAAGCUCAUAAACAUUUUCUAAGUACACUUGGAAAACACCCUCCCACUUGCUUCUCUAGACCUGGAGCUCUUUGUCUUCCAAGAGAUCUGACUAUGACAUAGCUAACUCCCAAGAUUGCCAAAUUUUGGAUUCGUCCUAGAGAAAGGGGUGUUUGGGAGAAAAUAUGUAAUACAAGGCAGCUAGUCAAGUUAGAUCAGCUUUAAGAACAGAGAAAGUCAACUCCUAAACUAUGUGAAAAGGUUGUCUUUCAUAUCUGGUAAAGAGGUGAUGUUCUAGGAUGUAACAGAGUCAAAGUUAGAGCCACUGGGGAAAGGGAAUUUGAUGUGGUAGAGUCUGGAUGUGAGAGGUCCUGAAUUCAAGUUCUGGCUCAGUUACUCAUUAGCUGUGUGAUGUUGGGGAAAUGAGCUGACCUUCCCUUGUUCAACUGCAAAACAAGAGAAAUAAUACCCUUUGUGCCAUAUGGCUCCUGGAAAGAUUAAACACAUAAAUUCAUGUCAAAGUUGCUUUAAAAAUCACAAUGCGCUUUGCCAGUCUUUGUUAUUACUUUCCAACAAUUGUGUUCUUUGUAUUUCUUUCUAUGGCAAAGUGAAAUAAUCUUUGAAAAAUGAAGAAAAGAAAUAUACAUAUACACAUAUCAUGGGCACCCCAAAACCCAGUAUGAGCAUUUUGUUGUAUUUUCUUCCAGACUUUCUUCCAGCAAAACACAUGAGCUGGUUCAUCUAAAGAGUUUAGGGGAGUGCCUAGUGCAUGGUAAGCACUGCAUGAAAGAUAACUCUAAAAGCACUUUCCUCCCAGGUGUAAAGGAGACAUGGCUCCCCAAGCACCAGCGGCUGGAGGGAAAGACAUAAAAAAUCUUGAUGAUAUAGUCCCAUUUCAUGCUGAGAAGUGACUGGGGGCCAGAGAUGCCAAUGACUUCCUCCAUGGCUCACAGAAUUAAGGCGGAACUGAGACUACAACCAGGAACAAUCCUGCCAUGUUGUAUUAAUUAGUCUGUUUAGUACUGAAACAUGGUUGAUGUGAAGUCCUUUUUUCACUUUAUUUAUAUUUUUAAAGAUUAAGAUAUUUGUUCACUGUUGUCAGAAGUUUGCAUACAAUAUAAACAACACUGUACAUUUAGUAAGAAAACAGGUACACUUUAGGUUCUCACUUAGAGCUUGCCUUUGUGUCUUGCUAAGGCCCCAAAUAAGAGAAAUAUGAUUUUGGGAAUGGACAGCAGCACAAUAUGAAACAGAUUCGAACAAACAAAAGACAAUUCCACUUGACAUCCAAUUUAAGCCUUACAGAGGAGAGUCUCUUUGGCAGUGCAGAACCGAGAAGCACAAACCUUGAAAGAUGACAGGGUCUGAGACUACAAGGUAAAUUUAAAUUGAAGAUAAACUAGAAAUAAAAAAGAAUGUUGGCAACCUGUGAUCAGUUUCAGAAAAAAAAAAAUAUAUGGCUUGAUGAAAAAGAUGGAGGCUUUUGUCUAUGUACCCAAGUGGUUUUGCAGUUUGUGGAAAUGUUGUGAAGCUUUCCCAAACUUGGCACAUUAAUCAAAGAGAAAAAUGAUGUAAGUAAGAGAAGCAAAGGGCCAAAGGAUUCAAGUAGGCUAGCGUAUCCUAAUGUUUAGUACAAGAGUCUAAAAAGGCUCUAGUCUGAAAUUCCUUAAAGAAUUCUAAAGGACAGGCUAUGUAGAUUUAAGUCUGUAUCUGUGCCAUAUGUGGGUAUGCAUUUAUGUUUGUGUGUACUUAUGUGUAUAUAUGUGUGUUUAUGUGUGUUAUGUGUGUAUAUGAACAUUUUAUGUAUAACUAUAAACCCACAUGGAUUUAUUCCUAAUAUUAUUCCCCAAAAUGGCACCUGGUAUGUGUAAUACCUUUUGUUUUUCACUUUUCAAUUAUUAUUCAGCUCAGUUAUGUUGUACAUUGCCAGUGAGAUCUUCAACUUGGCAUCAAAGGUAAAGUGAAACAGGCAAGAAAACAAAAUUGCCAGUUUACCAAAUUCCCAAAUAAUUUGUAGCUAAAUCAUAAUAUGAGCUCCUAUUCAAGCCUCUGUGAAUACAAAGAGUUUAUAAAAACCACAUAUAUUCUCAAACUGCAAUAAUUUAGGUUGCGGGCUUAAUAUAAAUAAUCUCUAAAUGCUACGUAAAAUGACUCCAGUAAGUGCAGUUCAAUCAACUGACAGAAGAAAAUUCACAGCCCUUUAUCCAGAGAGAUUAAAGACUGUAUCUAUUUCAUUUAUUACCAGCAACAUUAACACACAAAUUUAAGGCCCAUACAAGUUUAUGAGUGAGUUUAUGAAUAAGUCCUUGGACUUCAAAUACUAAUGCAUCACAGAAAACUCAUUCUCAGAACGACUCUUGAAGUUCAAGGUUUAGCCACAAGGCUGUCAAGGACUCCAACACUGUAUUGCUGAACACCUGUCUGGGGUGUCCAGGAUGGAUUGAUGGAUUGGUUGGUUGGUUAAUUCUCUCAUGCAACAAACAUCUGUUGAAGGUCUACUGUAUGCAACCCCAAGUUAGGUGCUGUGUAUGUACAGUCAUGUGUUGCUUAAUGAUGGGAUAUGUUAUGGGAAAAGUGUUGCUAAGCAAUUUCGUUGUUGUGUGAACAUCACAGAGUGUACUUAUACAACUUAUACAGACCUAUGGUGUAGUCUGCUACACACCUUGGCUAUAUGGUACAGCCUACUGCUCCUGGGGUACAAACCUGUAUAGCAUGUUAGUGUACUGAAUACUGUAGGCAACUGUAAAACAAUAGUAAGUACUUGUAUAUCUAAACUUAUUUAAACAUAUAAAAGGUAAUGCAAUGUGCUACAACCUUACGUUAUGAUGGCUACAACUCACUAGGUGAUAGGAAUUUUUCAGCUCUGUGUUAUAGUCUCAUGGGACCACCAUCGCAUAUGCAGUCUGCCAUCAAUCAAACCAUUGCUGUGCGGGGCAUGACUAUAUGUGAAGCAGUCAGGCAAGGUCCUAUGCAGGGAGUAAGGCAGGAAAAUGGUAUGGAGAGUACUGAGUAGGAGCUGGGUGGGGGUAGGGGAGGAAGGUCAAGGAUUGGGUCUCUGGAAAAGUGAUUAAGAUAAGUGAUAAUAACAAGAUGGAGCCAGUCCUGUGAAGAUUCAGAAAAAGGCACAUAGAGACAAACCAGUCAUACAAAGGCACCAGUGUGGAAACAGCUUGGCAUAUUCAAGGACCCAAAAGAAACCCAGAAAACAGCUUAGGCACUUUAAAGGUAGAUAAAGAUCUCGACUUUGCUGGAAAAAACAAUCAAGUCUCAAUUAGUGAGAAUAUUGCUGAGAUUAUUCAACCUGUCUGACUAUCAUGUACUCAUCCUUUACCAAUUGCAUACUGUGUGCUCGGCACCGUGCAAGACACAAGCUUGAAUGGUACAGAGUUCCUAUUGUGAAGAAGCUAACUUUCAACAGGGAUAAUAAUGCAAGUGUUUAAGCAGCUCCUCCUCUCAUCUUUUGAGCUUUGGGUGGGUGUCACUAUUCUGGCUCGUAUGGCACUCUAUGAUUAUAAUUUUUGUAGGGAUUAAAUGAGUUAUUAUAUGUAAAGUGCUUAGAUCAAUGCCAAGCACAUAAAUGCUAUACAGUGUUUGUCAGUAUUAUUAGUUAGUAGUAUAGUGAAAUGAUCGUAAAAGAAAUAGGAUAUUAACAUAGUUUCAAAGUAUCUCAAAAAUUAAGGGGCAUUUAUAAAAAAACUGGCUACUACUCUCAAAAGUGUCAAGGUCAUUGAAAGACAAAGGAAUAUUGAGGGACUCUUUUUUUUAUUUUGAGAUGGAGUUUCCUCUUACUGCCCAGACUGGAGUGCAGUGGUGUGAUCUCGGCUCACUGCA